CAGGAAAUAUUUUAUAUAAAAUAUUAAUUUUGGGUAUUAAUGAAGGAAAUAAAUUCUUUCUUUGA
Molecule: transfer RNA, 65 nt
Filed under: Allacta australiensis
Lineage: Eukaryota; Metazoa; Arthropoda; Insecta; Blattodea; Pseudophyllodromiidae
Description: tRNA-Pro
Source: RNAcentral